Molecule: ribosomal RNA, 484 nt
Filed under: uncultured bacterium
Lineage: Bacteria
Description: partial 16S ribosomal RNA
Rfam family: Bacterial small subunit ribosomal RNA
Source: RNAcentral
AUUGAACGCUGGCGGCAUGCUUUACACAUGCCAGUCGAACGGCAGCGCGGGCUUCGGCCUGGCGGCGAGUGGCGAACGGGUGAGUAAUGCAUCGGAACGUGCCCAGUAGUGGGGGAUAGCCCGGCGAAAGCCGGAUUAAUACCGCAUACGACCUGAGGGUGAAAGCGGGGGACCGAAAGGCCUCGCGCUAUUGGAGCGGCCGAUGUCGGAUUAGCUAGUUGGUGAGGUAAAGGCUUACCAAGGCGACGAUCCGUAGCUGGUCUGAGAGGACGACCAGCCACACUGGGACUGAGACACGGCCCAGACUCCUACGGGAGGCAGCAGUGGGGAAUUUUGGACAAUGGGGGCAACCCUGAUCCAGCCAUGCCGCGUACGGGAAGAAGGCCUUCGGGUUGUAAACCGCUUUUGUUCGGGAAGAAAUCCUCUGGGCUAAUACCCCGGGGGGAUGACGGUACCGGAAGAAUAAGCACCGGCUAACUACGUG